Molecule: long non-coding RNA, 869 nt
Filed under: Rattus norvegicus (Norway rat)
Lineage: Eukaryota; Metazoa; Chordata; Mammalia; Rodentia; Muridae
Description: long non-coding RNA NONRATT003640
Source: RNAcentral
AAUCCCUCAUUUGGGACGGGGCACUUUAAAAACAAACUUAAAAGGUAAAAGUGAAAAGAUUUUCAGCAGUUGAGGGAUGAAAAUCUCAACUUCAAAAAAAUAAAAAUGAGAAGAUAAAAUUCAUUUUCAUCUUACUAUUCCCUUGAUUACUAAACAUCUAUUUUAAGAAUGGAGGCUUUGACCUAUAUAUUAUUUUCUUCUAAUUAUCUCAGGUAAUAUUCUUAGGCAGCUUCAAUCGACAGAUAACUUCUACCUUCUUUCAAAAUACAACUACACCGAGUGCAUGGAAAGCAAGCAAAAUGUCAAGUUCACAAAUGUUCACGUAGGAAACAAAGGGAGAGGCGCUCGACUUGCUUCCACGGAAAGGAUUUUGAGGGAGAAGCUUAACCGCCUUGGAAAAGCUAAAUAUCCCUCCGGGAGAAGAGCCGUAAGUCCCGGUUCCAGCGAUUUCGACCGAGUUCGGGAUCCAGAGGUCCCCCAUCCCCCUCGCAGCGCAGGCCGCGCUCCGGGAAGCCGGGUAGGGCCUGCUCCAAAAACCACUGAGUCAUGCACUCGGCAGUCCCUCGCCGGAACAACUCGGCUGUGCAGGGAGCCGGGCGCGGCAGCAGCCGCCUCAGCCAUUGUCUGGUCGGCCAGCCGGCGGCCGGCCGACUCGCGCCUUGCGCCGCAGCACGCCGGGCAUUGUCCCGGCCGGCCGGCUGGCCGAGUCGGGCCGGUCUUUGUGCUCGCUGAUCGGGCGUGCUCCCGCCCCCGCGCCGUCCCGGCUCGCGCCACUUACCCUGCGGGGCCCGGAUGCACUAGCGAGCUGGCGCGCGACGCCGGGCGGUGGGCCGGGCUGAGGCCUCCGGGAAGGGCUGGCUAGCGGCCGC